AGUCACUGACAUUAGAUACCCGGGUAGUCCAGGGUGUAAACGCUGCAGACUUGGUNUUGGGGGCCCUUUGGGGGCAUUCAGUGCCGGAGAGAAGUUGUUAAGUCUGCUACUUGGGGAGUACGUCCGCAAGGAUGAAACUUAAAGGAAUUGGCGGGGAGCACCGCAACGGGAGGAGUGUGCGGUUUAAUUGGAUUCAACACCGUAAACUCACCAGGGAAGACUGUUACAUGAAGGCCGAGAUGAAGACUCUGCUAGAUUUUCAG
This 263-nucleotide ribosomal RNA is filed under the name uncultured archaeon. RNAcentral's name for it is "partial 16S ribosomal RNA". It matches the Rfam family "Archaeal small subunit ribosomal RNA", at positions 719 to 982 of the family's 1478-position model. The record is from RNAcentral.